AUGGCGCAGCUGACGUCACCAUCCUCUUCAUUCAGGACAUCCACGGUAGACACCACGCAGCAGAUCCUACGGACCUUCGUGCUCACCGCCGACAGGAUCCGGUCCCUGAAGCAGAAGUGCAUUCUGCAAAAUGGAACUGCCGGCAGCCAGCCGCCGACCAGCACCUACGUCGCCGUCUCGUCCCUAGUAUGGGCGUCCCUUGUCCGCGCCAAGUCCACGGACGAGGACCACGCGGAGGACGCCCACUUCACGGUGGUAGCGUGUAAGGAUGGACUGAUGUUGGUUACGGCCGAACCUGGACUGCAGGCGUGCUUUGCGAGGGUGAACAUUGGCGACUUGUGCGGCGAGGGUGGGGUUGCGCUCGCCGCCAGGGCCAUCCAGGAAUGCAUCCGGGAGGACCUGGAUCGAGCCUCCGACCCGCUGGAGGGGAUGGAUCGCGUGCUGGAGGUCGUCCACGGCACCCCCAAGGAGCGGCUGACCUCGGUGGGGUCGUCGCAUCGGUUCAUGGCGUACGAGACGGACUUCGGGUGGGGCGCCCCGAGCCGCGUCGAGCUGGUGUCCAGGUUCACGCCGGAGCUGGUGACGCUGCUCGGAGCAAAGGAGGCCGGCGCCGUGCAACUCUCCGUGGCGCUUCGCCGGCCCUUGAUGGAGGCAUUCGCGGCCAACUUCCUUACGCUGGCCGGGAGCAGCUAG
Molecule: ribosomal RNA, 693 nt
Filed under: Triticum aestivum (bread wheat)
Lineage: Eukaryota; Viridiplantae; Streptophyta; Magnoliopsida; Poales; Poaceae
Description: partial small subunit ribosomal RNA
Source: RNAcentral